This 446-nucleotide ribosomal RNA is filed under the name uncultured bacterium. Its description in RNAcentral is "partial 16S ribosomal RNA". It matches the Rfam family "Bacterial small subunit ribosomal RNA", at positions 338 to 795 of the family's 1533-position model. The record is from RNAcentral.
CCUACGGGCGGCAGCAGUCGAGAAUCAUUCACAAUGGGGGAAACCCUGAUGGUGCGACGCCGCGUGGGGGAAUGAAGGUCUUCGGAUUGUAAACCCCUGUCAUGUGGGAGCAAAUUAAAAAGAUAGUACCACAAGAGGAAGAGACGGCUAACUCUGUGCCAGCAGCCGCGGUAAUACAGAGGUCUCAAGCGUUGUUCGGAAUCACUGGGCGUAAAGCGUGCGUAGGCUGUUUCGUAAGUCGUGUGUGAAAGGCGCGGGCUCAACCCGCGGACGGCACAUGAUACUGCGAGACUAGAGUAAGGGAGGGGGAAGCGGAAGUCUCGGUGUAGCAGUGAAAUGCGUAGAUAUCGAGAGGAACACUCGUGGCGAAGGCGGGUUCCUGGACAUUAACUGACGCUGAGGCACGAAGUCCAGGGGAGCGAAAGGGAUUAGAUACCCGUGUAGUC